AGAUGAGUAAGACAUCUUCCACAGAUUCUGAAAUUUGGAUUAGAAAAAUUGAAAUUGACAUAGCAAGAGACUCAAAAGCAUAGAAAAAAAUAGAUUGGAACAUUAUAUUUUCUUGUUAUGCUUGUAUCUGGGUAUGGUGUAAGCUCUUUUAAUAGGGUAAAUGGCAGAACAUAAAGUAGAACUUUACAAGAGAGACAAAUGCAGAAAGAUAAAAUUUUCCUCAUGCUAGAUCACUGAAAAAAAAUAUGAUUUGAAGAGAAAAGAAAAACUCUAUUUACUAUAUAAUUUGCAGCCACAUGGAUUUCUUACCACUGUUUUCUUAUAGAUCUCGCCGUCAAAUGAAAAUCUUUUAAUCCAUAACAGUCCAAGAAUGAUUUUAUCAGAAUUUAUCCUAUGUAUUCUCUUUUUUCGAUAAUUCAUUAGCUUAAAGAUCUGAGAUAAAUGACUAUUUUUAUAUUUUUAUAAAUGAUUAUUUUUUAUAAAAUGAGGUAAAAGACUAUUUGAAAGCACAAAUAAAUCCUCUCAUUAGAAGAUCA
RNAcentral lists this long non-coding RNA (536 nucleotides) under Olea europaea subsp. europaea. The record is from RNAcentral. Lineage: Eukaryota; Viridiplantae; Streptophyta; Magnoliopsida; Lamiales; Oleaceae.